GAUGAACGCUGGCGGCGUGCCUAAUACAUGCAAGUCGAGCGAACGGACGAGAAGCUUGCUUUUCUGAUGUUAGCGGCGGACGGGUGAGUAACACGUGGAUAACCUACCUAUAAGACUGGGAUAACUUCGGGAGACCGGAGCUAAUACCGGAUAAUAUUUUGAACCGCAUGGUUCAAUAGUGAAAGACGGUCUUGCUGUCACUUAUAGAUGGAUCCGCGCUGCAUUAGCUAGUUGGUAAGGUAACGGCUUACCAAGGCAACGAUGCAUAGCCGACCUGAGAGGGUGAUCGGCCACACUGGAACUGAGACACGGUCCAGACUCCUACGGGAGGCAGCAGUAGGGAAUCUUCCGCAAUGGGCGAAAGCCUGACGGAGCAACGCCGCGUGAGUGAUGAAGGUCUUCGGAUCGUAAAACUCUGUUAUUAGGGAAGAACAUAUGUGUAAGUAACUGUGCACAUCUUGACGGUACCUAAUCAGAAAGCCACGGCUAACUACGUG
This 497-nucleotide ribosomal RNA is filed under the name uncultured bacterium. RNAcentral's name for it is "partial 16S ribosomal RNA". It matches the Rfam family "Bacterial small subunit ribosomal RNA", at positions 28 to 507 of the family's 1533-position model. The record is from RNAcentral.